UACGUAGGGUGCAAGCGUUAAUCGGAAUUACUGGGCGUAAAGCGUGCGCAGGCGGUCCGCUAAGACAGAUGUGAAAUCCCCGGGCUUAACCUGGGAACUGCAUUUGUGACUGGCGGGCUAGAGUAUGGCAGAGGGGGGGUAGAAUUCCACGUGUAGCAGUGAAAUGCGUAGAGAUGUGGAGGAAUACCGAUGGCGAAAGGCAGCCCCCUGGGCCCAAUAC
RNAcentral lists this ribosomal RNA (220 nucleotides) under uncultured bacterium. Its description in RNAcentral is "partial 16S ribosomal RNA". It matches the Rfam family "Bacterial small subunit ribosomal RNA", at positions 524 to 740 of the family's 1533-position model. The record is from RNAcentral.